Molecule: long non-coding RNA, 3419 nt
Organism: Solanum dulcamara
Lineage: Eukaryota; Viridiplantae; Streptophyta; Magnoliopsida; Solanales; Solanaceae
Exons: 5
Source: RefSeq, a predicted model, not a curated record
UUCUAAAAGAAACCCUAUUUCUCUAUCUUAACCAGCAGCCACACUUCAUCUCUCCCCUGUCUUCUUCGAGAAAAUUUCAAGCUCUCUUUUCACCAUGACCAAAUUUAGUCACACCAUUUUAGUGUAAGAGUUGUCUCUCUUAUCAUCUUCCCUCGGUCGUGACGUAAAGAGACAAAUUAUUUAUGAGGAAAGUUGAUUUCAUUACAAAUGAAAAUCAACAUCAGAAGAUUUCCUUCACUUUUCGAACGAUCAUUUUUUCAAGUUCAAAUGUGGAUAUUGAAAAUCCCGCCCAAAUUUUAAGGCUUGAUUUUGUCAGAUAAACGAACGUAGAUCCUUGAUCGACGAUCCAGUUCAUUGUUCCACAAGAGUCUGUUUGGCUUGAUUUUAUCGGAUGAACGAGCGUAGAUCCUUGAUCGACGAUCCAAUUCAUUAUUCCACAAAAGAUGGUCAACACACGAUACAAUGGUGUCUAGCUCGUAGCUCUCGUCAAUCCAGAGGAGGAGCCAACAGUUAGAGUGUGUGGCCGAGGCAGGGAUAAGAUAAGAGGACACAAGAUAGGCCUGGGAAGGGCAGCACCCGCCAAGGGUGAAACUCAAUCAGAGAAUGUCCCACAGGAAGAGGCCCCUCUCGCACACCAAGCGGAAAUAGAAGAGAAUGUAGAAGUAAAAGUUGAGGAAGAUGCUGAGCAGGAGGUGAAUGCGGAGGCUGAGGCUUUAGGACUCUCCACUUUGGACCUAGCUAUAGCUCAACAGAUCAUGACUUUCCUGAGUGAGAUGGUCAACAAUGGAGCCAUUCCUACAGUGCAUGUUUUUCAAUCUCCAGUUGCUCAUCCCAUUGCUACUGCAAUCCCUAAGAUGGAUAGAGCAUUGGGCAUUGAUUCCUUCUUCCGUCCACCUCUGGAUUAGUGAUGACGAGUAUUGAGCAUGAAAUGACUAAGUUCUUGCAUUUGAAGCAUCCAAUAAUUUAGGGUUAUGUUAGUGAGGAUGCCUACGUGUUCAUCCUGAAUUUCUAUGAGAGACUUCACAAGUUGGGCAUAGUCCACUAGCAUGGAGUUGAGUUUGUGACCUUGUAGCUUCAAGGUGAAUCUAAGUAGUAGCUGAGGGCCUUUCUAGAAUGCCAAUCUCCACUUUUUCCUCCAGUCACUUGUGUUCAAUUCCAUGCCAUAUUUUUGGAGAAGUAUGUUCCCAAAACACUGAAAGAUCGUAAGAAGGAUAAGUUAAUGGCUCUUGAGCAGGCCUGGCAUGACUAUAGCAACUUAUGAGGCUAAGUUUCAUGCCUUAUCCAGAUAUGCUACAUAGAUGGUGACUAUAGAGAAGGAGAGAGUCCAUUUGUUCUUCAAAUGAUUGAAUCUCGAGCUAUAGUUAUUGUAUGUCCAUAUGACCUCUUCAGGUAGAAGCUUUAAUGAAGUGACAAACUUCGUAAAGAAAGUAGAAGGAGUCCGACGGGAUGGACAGACCAAGGCUUUGGCUAAGAAUCUAAAAAAUAUAGGUAAUUUCAAUGGUUGUUACUUCAUAGGUUCAGGUAGGUUGGCAUUAGUAGCCCAACCAAUUUAGUCAGCCAUACCCGCUUCUACGGGUGGUUACUUAGGGACUCCACAAUAGAAUCCUACUCAGGAUGGUUAAGGAGCUUAUUGUACAUCAGGCAGAAGGUUAUCCCUUGGCCGCAGUUGUUAUAAUUUUAGGGAACCAAGGUACAUGAGGAGAAAUUGUCCCCACCCUUGCAUGAAUGAUGCCGCACAGCAGCAGGCUCGAGUUGUAAUACUGGCAGGCAAAAGUAAUAAUGGUAGAGGAUGUCCACAAGCAUACUUUCUCCUCAGAAGACAUGACUGUUGUGGAUCCUCAUUUAGUAGUCAAGCCUAUUCUUACUUUUGAUCCACCUAUAGCACCCAGAAAAGUCAUGUCUUUUGAGGAGCAAAAGAUGCUAGAGAGAUUCAUUAGAAUGGGCCCUCCUAGGUUAACAGAUGUUGCGGUCAAGGAUGCCUACGAGUUCUUGAUCAGUUACCAGGAUAGGUAGCAUAACCUUGUAUUAGUAGAGUCUCACAGGGUCGAUUAUAUUGCCUUCCAUCUAGAUGGGUCGGCGAAGCAGUAGUAGAGGUCUUAUCUCCGAAGUUGGCCAACCGAAUCACCUUUACUAACUUGGGUUCAGUUCUCCAAGGCUUUUUUGGAGAAUUAUGUACCUUACAAAUUAAGGGAUUGGUUGCGAGAUGAGUUCACAAAAUUGACUUAGGUAUUACUUUCAGUUGUUGAGUAUGAGAAGUGGUUUCAUGAGUUGGAUAGACAUGCGGCUAUUCUUAUGCUAACAAAGCAUGAGAUGGUGCACUGGUUUGUAAUACAGAUCUCAUUCCCACUUUGGAUGGCUAUUGAGAAGAUGGUGGCGUCGGAUUAUUCUAUUCUUUAGAUAGUUGAUCAUGCACGCACCAUCAAUGGGAUUCAUCAUGAGGCCUAUGGAGGUAGCGACAAAAGGCCCCAUUGUCAAGGCUAUUUUAGUGGGUAUUAGUCCCAUGGUAGGAUAUUUUUAGGUAGAGGUUACCCAGAAUAGUCUCAGCCCACUAGGCCAGUUCAGGUAACUCUUCAGUCUGUAGAUAGUGGCACUUUUAUGGGUGCUUGUGUCCAGAUGAUUCAAACUCUAAUUCAAUCUUCUCUGGGGGUACAUUCUGGAUCUUUAAUCCAUGGUGGCCAGUCAGGUUCAGCCGGGCUGUCUUAGAGGGGUUAUUUUUAGUGGGUCAUGUUAUGAGUAUGGUGUGAUAGGACACUUUGCUAGGAGUGCGAUACGACAAGUAACCAUAGACGAUAGGUCCAACAAGAUCAGCAGGUUCAGGCCUCAAGGCUCAACUUUAUUCUAUUAGAGGUAGCACUUAGGGUGGCAGAGAUGGUCCCUAGGAUGCUCAAGGUAGCCCUCAAUCGAGAAGGUCAGGCGAUCGAGAUGGACACCACAUACAUGCUUUUCCAGAGAGGCUAGAGACGGAGGCUUCGAAUGUUGUUAUCACAGGUAGAAGCAGAUGCCAUGGAAGAAGGCGAAGCAAUGACAACUUAACUCGUGAGAAGCAAGCUGCCACUUCAAGCAGGUAGAUGCACAAGAUUUUCUUGUCGGAGUCACAACGAUCGCUAUAUGAGGGGUUGCCCACCUUGUUCUUUUGGUGGUUAUUGUCUCAACCGCUAGUUAAUUGGACAAAUACCUAAGUGGAGUGGAGUAAAAGCAAGCUUCUAUGCUAUAUUAUAUCUUUCUAAUAAAGGCAAUAUCUCCUUUUUUACCAAGAGGAGAAUGUUAAUUAAGGCUUUUGGUUUUCUUUGUACUCUCAUCAUAAAUGUAUGUUUUGUUUUGGCUUAUCUUGCUAGUUGCUACUAUAUUCGGUUUAUUUCUUCUUUUACAAAAUGGAAAUGGGUCAAUAUGCCCUUAAACGAUGCUUUAAUUUUAUGAAA